RNAcentral lists this ribosomal RNA (492 nucleotides) under uncultured bacterium. Its description in RNAcentral is "partial 16S ribosomal RNA". It matches the Rfam family "Bacterial small subunit ribosomal RNA", at positions 29 to 507 of the family's 1533-position model. The record is from RNAcentral.
AGUGAACGCUGGCGGUAGGCCUAACACAUGCAAGUCGAACGGCAGCACAGUAAGAGCUUGCUCUUACGGGUGGCGAGUGGCGGACGGGUGAGGAAUACAUCGGAAUCUACUUUUUCGUGGGGGAUAACGUAGGGAAGCUUACGCUAAUACCGCAUACGACCUACGGGUGAAAGCAGGGGAACUUCGGACCUUGCGCGAAUGAAUGAGCCGAUGUCGGAUUAGCUAGUUGGCGGGGUAAAGGCCCACCAAGGCGACGAUCCGUAGCUGGUCUGAGAGGAUGGUCGGCCACACUGGAACUUAGACACGGUCCAGACUCCUACGGGAGGCAGCAGUGGGGAAUAUUGGACAAUGGGCGCAAGCCUGAUCCAGCCAUCCCGCGUGGGUGAAGAAGGCCUUCGGGUUGUAAAGCCCUUUUGUUGGGAAAGAAAAGCAGCAGGUUAAUACCCCGCUGUUCUGACGGUACCCAAAGAAUAAGCACCGGCUAACUUCGUG